UUAUAGUUGCCCAGGCACUUUGGUGACUCUAGAGAACCUCGGGCCAAUCGCAUUCGGAUGUCUGCCCUAUCAACUUUCACUGUCACUAUCUGUGCCUACCAUGGUGACCAUGGGUAAUGUGAAAUCAGGGUUCGUUUCCGGAAAGGGAGCCUGAGAAAUGGCUACCACAUCCAAGGAAGGCAGCAGGAGCGCAAAUUACCCACUCCCAACGCGGGGAGGUAGUGACGA
Molecule: non-coding RNA, 228 nt
Organism: Pelobates cultripes (western spadefoot toad)
Lineage: Eukaryota; Metazoa; Chordata; Amphibia; Anura; Pelobatidae
Source: the annotation of a GenBank genome assembly